RNAcentral lists this small RNA (87 nucleotides) under Rhizobium sp. TAL182. RNAcentral's name for it is "miscellaneous other RNA". Lineage: Bacteria; Pseudomonadati; Pseudomonadota; Alphaproteobacteria; Hyphomicrobiales; Rhizobiaceae. The record is from RNAcentral.
UCACCGCCAAAAUUGCGCCAUGCCCGAUAGCGACCCAUCCAGUACAAGCUCCGCCCGCUCAAGCCGGAAAGCCGCGGCAGAAGAUGC